Molecule: ribosomal RNA, 416 nt
Filed under: uncultured bacterium
Lineage: Bacteria
Description: bacterial SSU rRNA
Rfam family: Bacterial small subunit ribosomal RNA (bases 70-416)
Source: RNAcentral
GGCCGCGUCGACGCCUCAUACAGGGGGAUAACAGUUAGAAAUGACUGAGUGGCGACGGGUGAGUAACGCGUGGGUAACCUGCCUCAUACAGGGGGAUAAACGCUGGCGGCGUGCCUAACACAUGCAAGUCGACGAAGCACCUGACGAUUCUCGGAUUGAAGUUCUUGUGACUGAGUGGCGGACGGGUGAGUAACGCGUAGGUAACCUGCCUUGUAGCGGGGGAUAACUAUUGGAAACGAUAGCUAAUACCGCAUAACAAUGGAUGACACAUGUCAUUUAUUUGAAAGGGGCAAUUGCUCCACUACAAGAUGGACCUGCGUUGUAUUAGCUAGUAGGUGAGGUAAUGGCUCACCUAGGCGACGAUACAUAGCCGACCUGAGAGGGUGAUCGGCCACACUGGGACUGAGACACGGCCC